This 306-nucleotide unclassified non-coding RNA is filed under the name Hevea brasiliensis (rubber tree). Lineage: Eukaryota; Viridiplantae; Streptophyta; Magnoliopsida; Malpighiales; Euphorbiaceae. The record is from RNAcentral.
GUCGCCUCUUCAGCUGUGCUCUCUACUACGACUUUCGAAUCGGUAGUUCGGCAUUUGUUGUUCGAUGGAUCGGCUUUCUGAACCCAUUCAGAAGAUUUAGAUAAUGUUUGGGGCAAAGUCUCAUGUGAGGACAUUGUGAAGUUGUUGCUGGGAUACUUUAUAAAAGAUGAAUCAAGCACAGGCAGAGUGAAGCCAUAAUUAUAAGGAUAUGUUGCAGAUGGGUGGUCAAAUUUACAACUUGGGCCAUACUUGCAGAUCCCAUACAUAUUGUAGUAUGAACAUAUAGCUUGUCCGGGUCUUGAAGGA